This 240-nucleotide unclassified non-coding RNA is filed under the name soil metagenome. RNAcentral's name for it is "partial contains 5.8S ribosomal RNA, internal transcribed spacer 2, and large subunit ribosomal RNA". The record is from RNAcentral.
AACCAUAGAAACCUGCGGAGUACCUGCGGAAGGAUCAUUAACCUUUCAAAAAACAGGGUGCGUCGCGGCCCCCCUCCGGGGGCGGUUUGGGGUCCUCCCCUUCACGCGCGCACGACUGCAUCCUUACUUUACGAGCACCUUCUGUUCUCCCUCGGCGGGGCAACCUGCCGUUGGAACCGAAUAAACCCUUUUUUGCAUCCAGCAUUACCCGUUCCGAAACAAACAAUCGUUACAACUUUC